AGUGAACGCUGGCGGCAGGCCUAACACAUGCAAGUCGAACGGCAGCACAGUAAGAGCUUGCUCUUACGGGUGGCGAGUGGCGGAUGGGUGAGGAAUACAUCGGAAUCUACUUUUUCGUGUGGGAUAACGUCCGGAAAUGGGCGCUAAUACCGCAUCCGUUCUGAGGGAGUAAGGGGGGGAUCUUCGGACCUCACGCUAUCAGACGAGCCUAGGUCGGAUUAGCUAGUUGGUGGGGUAAAGGCCUACCAAGGGGACGAUCCGUAACUGGUCUGAGAGGCUGAUCGGUCACACUGGAACUGAAACACGGUCCAGAGUCCUACGGGAGGCAGCAGUGGGGAAUAUUGGACAAUGGGCGAAAGCCUGAUCCAGCCAUGCCGCGUGUGUGAAGAAGGUCUUCGGAUUGUAAAGCACUUUAAGUUGGGAGGAAGGGCAGUAAGUUAAUACCUUGCUGUUUUGACGUUACCAACAGAAUAAGCACCGGCUAACUACGUG
RNAcentral lists this ribosomal RNA (492 nucleotides) under uncultured bacterium. RNAcentral's name for it is "partial 16S ribosomal RNA". It matches the Rfam family "Bacterial small subunit ribosomal RNA", at positions 29 to 507 of the family's 1533-position model. The record is from RNAcentral.